AUUAUGGCGUUUGUGAGGGCUGUGUGGCAGGAGGGCGAUAAAGUUUUUGAAGGGGUGCUGCCAAUAAAUUGGAUUGACGAAGAAAGGAAAGUCCUCAGAUGGCCAAAAAAGGGACGGGCGUCGGCCUGGAAAAACAAAACGAAUCCAGCUGGAGACUGGCUGGACUUUCCCCUCAUAAAAAUAUGUGAUGCUUAAGGCGAGACACGGCAGGUGAAAACAUCGAUUUUUCAUGACCUGGUCAAAUUUGAGAUUUUGGGCUAGUUUACAUCCAUGUAAUUUUUUACACUGCUAUAAAGAAAAUUUCCAAAUAACACAUGUCGGUUGGUUUACAUGACUUUGCAACUUCUGACUUUUUUACAGAAAGUGAAAAGGAGUGCACCGAGUUUAAUUAUACAUCGUCAGCACAGACAGAUUCAGAAGACCCUCCAGAACUGGGGAAAAGGGCAAUAAAAAGAAAGCAAUUUUCUGAUUGUAUUGAAGAACCAGAACUAUCAGAUGAAGAACCCAGACCCAAAAAAUCGCCAGGGUUGUUUAAUGUAAAAAGUCUUAAAUAUGUCUUUGCCAAACAAAUACUGUUUGCGACAUGAAUACUUUUUCUGUUUCUAUGUAGGCAAAAGCACAGGACUGCUCAGCAAGCCACCAAAGCCACCAAAUAUGACUAAUGAGACACCCAGUGUCAGAAACCAGGACCAGACCUCUUUGGAUAAUACUCCAACUCUAGAUUCAUCAUAUACCCACCCCCAGAGGAGCCCCUCCCCCUCCAAUCAUUCUGAUGUUGGGGGUGAGUCCUGGCAGGAUAGCUCACCUUCAUCUCCAAGGAACCAGUCCAUAAGGAGCCCCUCUCCCUCAUCCAGGAGCCCCUCUCCCUCAUCCAGUCAUUCUGGGAACCACAGAGGAGGCUCCCAUUCUGGUGGUCCUCCUAGAGCCUCAAACAGCCAGUCCAUAAGGACCCCCUCUCCCUCAUCCAGUCAUUCCGGGAACCACAGAGGAGGCUCUCGUCCUGGUGGUUCUUCUCGAGCCUCAAACGGCCAGUCCAUAAGGACCCCCUCUCUCUCAUCCAGUCAUUCCAGGAACCACAGAGGAGGCUCCCAUUCUGGUGGUUCUUCUCGAAGUUCAAACGGUAAGUUGACCUAA
This 1134-nucleotide long non-coding RNA is filed under the name Gadus morhua (Atlantic cod). RNAcentral describes it as "lncRNA (ENSGMOG00000035311.1)". The record is from RNAcentral. Lineage: Eukaryota; Metazoa; Chordata; Actinopteri; Gadiformes; Gadidae.